CCAAAGGGAGCUUGGUACUUAAGCAGUCCGAUGGACUCACCUCCUCCUUUCCGGUUACCUACCUGGUGCUUAGCUUCCAUUCACCUUAACCUGCAUUUAAAAUUAUCUAUGGGUGGUGGUGCAUGGCCGUUCUUAGUUGGUAGAGCGAUUUGUCUGGUUAAUUCCAUUAACGAACGAGACCUCAGCCUGCUAACUAGCUACACGGAGGUGAUCCUCCGUGGCUAGCUUCUUAGAGGGACUAUGGCCUUUUAGGCCAAGGAAGUUUGAGGCAAUAAUAGGUUUGUGAUGCCCUUAGAUGUUCUGGGCCACACAUGCGCUACACUGAUAUAUUCAACGAGUCUAUGCCUUGGCCGACAAGCCCGGGUAAUCUUUGAAAUUUCAUCGUAAUUGGGAUAGAUCAUUGCAAUUGUUGGUCUUCAACAAAGAAUUCCUAGUAAGCGCGAGUCAUCAGCUCGUGUUGCCUAUGUCCC
This is a non-coding RNA of Gossypium hirsutum (cotton), 470 nucleotides long. NCBI's taxonomy places the organism in Eukaryota, Viridiplantae, Streptophyta, Magnoliopsida, Malvales, Malvaceae. The record is from Rfam.